This 472-nucleotide ribosomal RNA is filed under the name uncultured bacterium. Its description in RNAcentral is "partial 16S ribosomal RNA". It matches the Rfam family "Bacterial small subunit ribosomal RNA", at positions 28 to 507 of the family's 1533-position model. The record is from RNAcentral.
GAUGAACGCUGGCGGCGUGCCUAAUACAUGCAAGUCGAGCGAACAGACGAGGAGCUUUCUCCUCUGACGUUAGCGGCGGACGGGAGAGUAACACGUGGAUAACCUACCUAUAAGACUGGGAUAACUACGGGAAACCGGAUCUAAUACCGGAUAAUAUAUUGAACCGCAUUGUUCAAUAGUUAAAGACGGUUUUUCGGUCGCUUAUAGAUGGAUCCGCGCCGGAUUAAUUAGUUGGUAGGGUAAAUGCUUACCAAGGCGACGAUGCGUAGCUGGCCAGAGAGGAUGAGCACCCACACCGGGAGGGAGACACGGCCCAGAAUCCUACGGGAGGCAGCAGAGGGGAAUAUGGGAAAAGGGGCGAAAGCCUGAACCAGCAAUGCCGCGUAAAUGAUGAAUGUCUGAGGGGAGUAAAGCUCUUUUACCCGUGAUGAUAAUGACAGUACCGGAAGAAGAAGCUCCGGCUAACUCCGUG